UGCCUGUCUCCAUCUCAGCUGCGGCGAGGGAGGUGUGUGCUGUCUGCUCCAUCGCGCCGUGCGCCGCUUGCUGAUGCUGGGAGCCGGAAUAUGAUGCCAGCUACAGCAGACAGCCCGCGCGGCGCAAGGGAGCAGAGAGCACACAGCUCCCUCACCGCGGCUGAGAUGGAGACAGGCA
Non-coding RNA from Pelobates cultripes (western spadefoot toad), 178 nucleotides. NCBI's taxonomy places the organism in Eukaryota, Metazoa, Chordata, Amphibia, Anura, Pelobatidae. The record is from the annotation of a GenBank genome assembly.